Salvelinus sp. IW2-2015 is the source of this 596-nucleotide long non-coding RNA. RefSeq lists it as uncharacterized. The record is from RefSeq and is a predicted model, not a curated record. NCBI's taxonomy places the organism in Eukaryota, Metazoa, Chordata, Actinopteri, Salmoniformes, Salmonidae.
UGACCUGUUCACCGGACGUGCUACCUUGGUCCGGACCUGUGGGACUUUAGACAAAGCAAGCUGUCACCCGGUGGGAGUCUCUUAAUGCAAACUGGUCAUGUGCAUGAGGAAUUCAACACGAUCUAGAAUUUGUCGAUUACAGGUCCCCCAGCUGUUCCAGAGCUAGCACACCUGAUUCAACGUGUUAAUAAUUAAUAAACAAAAUAAUAAAACCGAUGGAAUUUUCCCAAAUAUAAUAUGGCUAUUAAAGGGUUGGACCAGAGUGGAACCGUUUUUUGGUACUGUAAGACGCAGUAUUAGAUAAAACGUUGCGACCCUGCCCACCUGUGGGGAAAACAACCUGUGGUUACCUAGAUUACCUCAUUGGCUCACAGAAAAAUGUAACCUUUUUCGAACGCAAUUUUCUUGUCUGCUUGUUUUAGUCAAUUACAAAACUACAUUUAAGAAAAGUAAAACAUGUCUAAAGAUGACUUUUCAACAUUGCCCUACUCCCUAGCAUUCUCUCUACUUAUAUAAACGUAAUAUUGUAGGGCUUCCCUCAUGCCCCUUUUCAUGAGGAUGCUUGCAGCCACGUGAGUGAGUGCUAGCUAGCUACC